This 264-nucleotide unclassified non-coding RNA is filed under the name uncultured Pleosporales. RNAcentral describes it as "sequence contains 5.8S rRNA gene, ITS2, 28S rRNA gene". The stretch from base 1 to 52 matches the Rfam family "5.8S ribosomal RNA", at positions 103 to 154 of the family's 154-position model. The record is from RNAcentral. Lineage: Eukaryota; Fungi; Ascomycota; Dothideomycetes; Pleosporales.
AACGCACAUUGCGCCCUUUGGUAUUCCAAAGGGCAUGCCUGUUCGAGCGUCAUUUGUACCUUCAAGCUUUGCUUGGUGUUGGGCGUUUUUUGUCUCCCUCUUGCUGGGAGACUCGCCUUAAAACGAUUGGCAGCCGGCCUACUGGUUUCGGAGCGCAGCACAUAUUUUGCACUCUGUGUCAGGAGAAAAGGACGGUAAUCCAUCAAGACUCUACAAAUUUUAACUUUUGACCUCGGAUCAGGUAGGGAUACCCGCUGAACUUAA